Schistosoma mansoni is the source of this 45-nucleotide non-coding RNA. Lineage: Eukaryota; Metazoa; Platyhelminthes; Trematoda; Strigeidida; Schistosomatidae. The record is from Rfam.
AUCCAGCUGACGAGUCACAAAUGGGACUAAACGCGCGUACUGGAU